GAUUUCUGGGGUAGCGGCGAAAUGCUAUAAUCCUGGAAGGACCACCGAUAGCGAAGGCACCUAACUAGAACGGGCUCGACGAUGAGGGACGAGAGCUAGGGGAGCAAACCGGAUUAGAUACCCGGGUAGUCCUAGCCGUAAACGAUGCAGACUGAGUGUCUCCUGAACCUCGAGUUCAGGAGGUGCUGAAGGGAAACCGUUAAGUCUGCCGCCUGGGGAGUACGGUCGCAAGGCUGAAACUUAAAGGAAU
This 250-nucleotide ribosomal RNA is filed under the name uncultured archaeon. Its description in RNAcentral is "partial 16S ribosomal RNA". It matches the Rfam family "Archaeal small subunit ribosomal RNA", at positions 616 to 865 of the family's 1478-position model. The record is from RNAcentral.